UACAGGUGGGUCCACUUACUGCUAUACAAAAUGUGAUCCACCGAACGUGGGUGAUCAUCUUGGGUGGUUUUUCUUCAAACGUUUUUUUAAGAUUAACAGCUUUGAUUGCCCCAAACAGUCAUCGUGUCUAGUGGAGAUACUGAAGAUAAGUGAGCAACCAUAUCUUGCAAGGAUUGCAGGGAAAUGCUGUGCUUGAUCAGCGACUGUUUACGUGGGCUCACCUUAUGGGUUGUUUAGAUGCCUGUAAAGUUUGAAGUUGUUACACUUCACACUUAGGGCCUGUUUGGAUUACCAAUUACCGCUGUAGUGUACUGUAAUUUGUGGUAAAUGAGUAGUGAUUAUCUCUACCAUGGUAGUCAGAGGUAAAACAGAGUAGUGGUUGUACCCAGGGCUCCUUCAGAUCCACUUCUAGCCGGUAAAGCAUUUUCAGUUGUUA
Molecule: long non-coding RNA, 436 nt
Organism: Magnolia sinica
Lineage: Eukaryota; Viridiplantae; Streptophyta; Magnoliopsida; Magnoliales; Magnoliaceae
Exons: 2
Source: RefSeq, a predicted model, not a curated record